AGGCAAGUUCGGCGGGUGGAGGCCCAAAGGAGCAGAGGUGCUGAGUGUUUCUGACGAUAGGUUUUCUUCUUUUUCACUGCACCUCUUUCCGCUCUUCUGGGAGGUGUGCCCGCAGCAACAGCGGUUCGGUGCGGGUUUGUCAUUGAGCGAUUGCCUUUCAUGCUUGGCUUUUGGGGUCUCUAAAGUUUCCGUUGGAUAUGCUUGAGAUUUCACGGGUACAUAUAUUUCAUUAUUCUUGCAUUAUCCCGGUCUGCUUUCGGAUUGCUAUUGAUGGCUUUUGUGGACAAUGCGGUGGAGGCUCUUCCAUUGGCCAGGUCUUUCUUGUGCUCUUUAAUCCUUUUUUGGAGCAUUCUCGUGGUGACUCUUGCAUGCAUUGUGGGUUGUUGAGUGUCGGUAAAUAGGGUUGGAGUUUUGUAGAUCCCAGCCUUUGGCUGUCACUUCUUCUGUCUUUCUCAUUCCUAAUUUUGUUGAGGGCUGUGAUUGCUUGCAGGUGCGCUAGUCAUUUCUUAGCCUUUUUCAUGAGGUUUUUGAUUGAGCUAAGUUUAAUUAUAGUAUAAGGCACUUAUGCUGCUUUCUUAUAGGACACAGGGUCUGGGGACCAUCUAGAAUCUUCAUGCUUAUGUCUAGGAAGUGAACUUCACUGCCACUCUACUGGACUUUCUCAAGGCUUAGGCCAUAAGCGGGGAGAGCGAAUGCAGCUUUGAACUCGCUAAUUCUAGCAUCAUUCUCCUAUAUGGAAGAAUGACACUAGAAUUGCAAAUUAAAAUUGCUGUAUACCAGAAACUAUCACACCAACCAAUAAUAAUUCCUAGAUGGUCCCCAGACUCAUGUCCCUCUUCAGAAGUGCAUACUUAUACUCUUCACUGAUAAAACUCUUUGCUGAACUUAUACUCUUCAGACCAUCAAGCCUUGCAAAUGGAAAUAAAUUAGAUCUUUGAAAUAGGCCACAUGCAUGAUUAUAAAAAAAGCUUCAUAAAAAGCAUAUGCACAAAAGUUGAACACUCCCUUAAAAAAGAAACUGAUUAUCCAUCUUCCACCAGCAUAAACCACAAUAAUGACUAAACUUUCCUACCUCUGCCAUAUACCACAGCGAAACUUAACUCAAUUAAAAACUUCAUGAAAAAGGCUAAAAAAGACCAGCAUACCUGAGAACAACCAUAGUAUUUAACAAAAUUAGAAAUGACAAAAACAGAAGAAAUGAUAGCCAGCCAUUUAUAAGAUUCCAGCCAUAGUUUAUUGACACACAACACCCCACAUCAUAUAUAGGGCAUAUAUAUUGCCAUAUAUAUAUUUCUUCAAGCAUAUAUAUUGCUUGAAGAAUACUCCAGAAAAGAACUGAAAGCAUAAGAAAGACCUAGCCAACAGAAGAAUUUCCACUGCACUGGCUACAAAAGCUAUCACUAGUAACUUGGAAGUGCACUGGGAUAACAAAGAAUAAUAAUAAAUGUACCUGUAAUUCCCCCAGAAACAUUAGAGAUCUUGAAGGCCAAGCAUAAAGGACAUUUAUUUAAUGAUAAACCCGUAGUUGAACUGUUGUCAUCAUGGGCAUACCUCCUUGAAAAGUGGAAAGAAGUGUGGUCAAUAAGAAAUUCUUCUGUUGUAAACACCUAAGAACCCGAAGGAGUGGAAGGCCUAUUUUGUUGAUCUUUGUAGACAAAGAAUAGCCUUG
Molecule: long non-coding RNA, 1669 nt
Filed under: Androctonus crassicauda
Lineage: Eukaryota; Metazoa; Arthropoda; Arachnida; Scorpiones; Buthidae
Source: RNAcentral